AACAAACGCUGGCGGCGUGCCUAAUACAUGCAAGUCGAACGGGGAAGGCUUUCGGGUGAGUACUAGUGGCGCACGGGUGAGGAACGCGUGGAUAAUCUGCCUUAGAGUGGGGGAUAACUAGUCGAAAGAUUAGCUAAUACCGCAUAAGACCACGAGAGCUGCGGCUUUUGAGGUCAAAGGUUUUUCGCUCUAAGAUGAGUCCGCGUAAGAUUAGCUAGUUGGUGAGGUAACGGCUCACCAAGGCGACGAUCUUUAACUGGUCUGAGAGGAUGAUCAGUCACACUGGAACUGAGACACGGUCCAGACUCCUACGGGAGGCAGCAGUAGGGAAUAUUGCACAAUGGAGGAAACUCUGAUGCAGCGACGCCGCGUGAGUGAUGAAGGCCUUCGGGUCGUAAAGCUCUGUCGCAGGGGAAUAACACAAUGAAGGUACCCUGUAAGAAAGGAUCGGCUAACUUCGUG
This 462-nucleotide ribosomal RNA is filed under the name uncultured bacterium. RNAcentral describes it as "partial 16S ribosomal RNA". It matches the Rfam family "Bacterial small subunit ribosomal RNA", at positions 29 to 507 of the family's 1533-position model. The record is from RNAcentral.